This 1004-nucleotide ribosomal RNA is filed under the name Enterobacteriales bacterium symbiont of Nycteribia stylidiopsis. RNAcentral's name for it is "bacterial SSU rRNA". It matches the Rfam family "Bacterial small subunit ribosomal RNA", at positions 56 to 1042 of the family's 1533-position model. The record is from RNAcentral. Lineage: Bacteria; Pseudomonadati; Pseudomonadota; Gammaproteobacteria; Enterobacterales.
UGCAGUCGAGCGGCAGCGUAAAAGAAGUUUUUUUUCUUUGUCGGCGAGCGGCGGACGGGUGAGUAAUGUAUGGGGAUCUACCUUAAGGAGUGGGAUAACUAUUAGAAAUGAUAGCUAAUACCACAUAAUCUCUGAGGAGCAAAGUGGGGGACUCUUUUAAGAGCCUCAUGCCUUUAGAUGAACCCAUAUGAGAUUAGCUAGUAGGUAAGGUAAUGGCUUACCUAGGCUACGAUCUCUAGCUGGUCUGAGAGGAUGACCAGCCACACUGGGACUGAGACACGGCCCAGACUCCUACGGGAGGCAGCAGUGGGGAAUAUUGCACAAUGGGCGAAAGCCUGAUGCAGCUAUGCCGCGUGUAUGAAGAAGGCCUUCGGGUUGUAAAGUACUUUCAGUUGUGAGGAAGGAAUUAAAGUUAAUACCUUUGAUUAUUGACAUUAGCAACAGAAGAAGCACCGGCUAACUCCGUGCCAGCAGCCGCGGUAAUACGGAGGGUGCAAGCGUUAAUCGGAAUUACUGGGCGUAAAGGGCACGCAGGUGGUUAAUUAAGUUGGAUGUGAAAUCCCUUGGCUUAACCUUGGAAUUGCAUUCAAAACUGAUUAGCUAGAGUCUUGUAGAGGGAGGUAGAAUUCCAUGUGUAGCGGUGAAAUGCGUAGAGAUAUGGAGGAAUACCAGUGGCGAAGGCGACCUCCUGGACAAAGACUGACGCUCAUGUGCGAAAGCAUGGGGAGCAAACAGGAUUAGAUACCCUGGUAGUCCAUGCUGUAAACGAUGUCGAUUUGGAGGUUGUGACUUUAUUUGUUGUGGCUUCCGUAGCUAACGCGUUAAAUCGACCGCCUGGGGAGUACGGCCGCAAGGUUAAAACUCAAAUGAAUUGACGGGGGCCCGCACAAGCGGUGGAGCAUGUGGUUUAAUUCGAUGCAACGCGAAGAACCUUACCUACUCUUGACAUCCAAAGAAGUGAACAGAGAUGUUUAUGUGCCUUCGGGAACUUUGAGACAGGUGCU